Molecule: ribosomal RNA, 263 nt
Filed under: uncultured bacterium
Lineage: Bacteria
Description: partial 16S ribosomal RNA
Rfam family: Bacterial small subunit ribosomal RNA
Source: RNAcentral
GUCCUAGCCGUAAACGGUGAUCACUAGGUGUUGGAGGCAUCGACCCCUCCAGUGCCGCAGCUAACGCAUUAAGUGAUCCGCCUGGGGAGUACGGCCGCAAGGUUGAAACUCAAAGGAAUUGACGGGGGCCCGCACAAGCGGUGGAGCAUGUGGUUUAAUUCGACGCAACGCGAAGAACCUUACCCAGACUUGACAUGCACUAGAUAGGUGUGGAAACACACCCUCCCUUCGGGGCUGGUGCACAGGUGCUGCAUGGCUGUCGU